GGCCCCUUAGCUCAACUGGAUAGAGCAGCUGCCUUCUAAGCAGCAGGUCGCAGGUUCGAGUCCUGCAGGGGUCGCCA
Molecule: transfer RNA, 77 nt
Filed under: Neorhizobium galegae
Lineage: Bacteria; Pseudomonadati; Pseudomonadota; Alphaproteobacteria; Hyphomicrobiales; Rhizobiaceae
Also listed under: 60 other names
Description: tRNA-Arg
Rfam family: tRNA
About the family: Transfer RNA (tRNA) molecules are approximately 80 nucleotides in length. Their secondary structure includes four short double-helical elements and three loops (D, anti-codon, and T loops).
Source: RNAcentral